This 523-nucleotide ribosomal RNA is filed under the name uncultured bacterium. RNAcentral's name for it is "bacterial SSU rRNA". It matches the Rfam family "Bacterial small subunit ribosomal RNA", at positions 35 to 518 of the family's 1533-position model. The record is from RNAcentral.
GGACGAACGGCUGGCGGGCCGUGCCUAAUACAUGCAAGUCGAACGGCUUUUCUAUGGAAGCUUGCUCCACUGAGAAGAUAGUGGCGAACGGGUGAGUAACAACGUGGGUAACCUGCCCAUAAGAGGGGGGAGUAACAUCCGGAAACGGGUGCUAAUACCGCAUAGUUUUCUUGGUCGCAUGAUCGGGAAGGAAAGACGGCCUUUGUGCUGUCGCUUAUGGAUGGACCCGCGGCGUAUUAGUUAGUUGGUGAGGUAACGGCUCACCAAGACGAUGAUACGUAGCCGACCUGAGAGGGUGAUCGGCCACAUUGGGACUGAGACACGGCCCAAACUCCUACGGGAGGCAGCAGUAGGGAAUCUUCCGCAAUGGACGAAAGUCUGACGGAGCAACGCCGCGUGAGUGAAGAAAAGGUUUUCGGAUCGUAAAACUCUGUUGUCAGAGAAGAACAAGUUGGAGAGUAACUGCUCCAGCCUUGACGGUAUCUGACCAGAAAGCCACGGCUAACUACGUGCCAGCCGCUGC